RNAcentral lists this ribosomal RNA (798 nucleotides) under Nocardioides sp. RNAcentral describes it as "bacterial SSU rRNA". It matches the Rfam family "Bacterial small subunit ribosomal RNA", at positions 62 to 873 of the family's 1533-position model. The record is from RNAcentral. Lineage: Bacteria; Bacillati; Actinomycetota; Actinomycetes; Propionibacteriales; Nocardioidaceae.
UCGAGCGGAAGGCUCCUUCGGGGGUACUCGAGCGGCGAACGGGUGAGUAACACGUGAGUAAUCUGCCCUGCGCUCUGGGAUAGCCACCGGAAACGGUGAUUAAUACCGGAUAUGACUGCUACCCGCAUGGGUUGGUGGUGGAAAGUUUUUUCGGCGCAGGAUGUGCUCGCGGCCUAUCAGCUUGUUGGUGAGGUAAUGGCUCACCAAGGCUUUGACGGGUAGCCGGCCUGAGAGGGUGACCGGUCACACUGGGACUGAGACACGGCCCAGACUCCUACGGGAGGCAGCAGUGGGGAAUAUUGGACAAUGGGCGGAAGCCUGAUCCAGCAACGCCGCGUGAGGGAUGACGGCCUUCGGGUUGUAAACCUCUUUCAGUACCGACGAAGCGAGAGUGACGGUAGGUACAGAAGAAGGACCGGCCAACUACGUGCCAGCAGCCGCGGUAAUACGUAGGGUCCGAGCGUUGUCCGGAAUUAUUGGGCGUAAAGGGCUCGUAGGCGGUUUGUCGCGUCGGGAGUGAAAACAGCGGGCUUAACUCGUUGCUUGCUUCCGAUACGGGCAGACUAGAGGUAUGCAGGGGAGAAUGGAAUUCCUGGUGUAGCGGUGAAAUGCGCAGAUAUCAGGAGGAACACCGGUGGCGAAGGCGGUUCUCUGGGCAUUACCUGACGCUGAGGAGCGAAAGUGUGGGGAGCGAACAGGAUUAGAUACCCUGGUAGUCCACACCGUAAACGUUGGGCGCUAGGUGUGGGGUCCUUUCCACGGAUUCCGUGCCGUAGCUAACGCAUUAAGCGCCCCGCC